Molecule: RNase MRP RNA, 247 nt
Filed under: Manihot esculenta (cassava)
Lineage: Eukaryota; Viridiplantae; Streptophyta; Magnoliopsida; Malpighiales; Euphorbiaceae
Description: RNase MRP
Rfam family: RNase MRP
About the family: RNase MRP is an enzymatically active ribonucleoprotein with two distinct roles in eukaryotes.
Source: Rfam by way of RNAcentral
UCUCCGGGAGUCGGAGUGGUUGGGUGAUGCAUUCACCCAGGAAAGUCCCCGGGCCCUCUUCUGCAGAGAUGCAGCCCCGGAAACGGGAGAACCUUGUGGCAUGGAAUCUUACUCACGAUUUGUGAGGGGCUGAGACGCGUGUGGAGCCUUCAGAGUCCAUGCCCAAGAAAAUUGGCCGUUGCUUUCACAGUUAUCCACUCGGUCCACUGUUGUGGGCUAACUGAACGGGGCUUACGACCUCCUGGUG